This 120-nucleotide ribosomal RNA is filed under the name uncultured bacterium. RNAcentral's name for it is "partial 16S ribosomal RNA". It matches the Rfam family "Bacterial small subunit ribosomal RNA", at positions 796 to 915 of the family's 1533-position model. The record is from RNAcentral.
CACGCCGUAAACGAUGAAUGCUAGGUGUUGGGGGGCAAAGCCCUUCGGUGCCGCCGCAAACGCAGUAAGCAUUCCACCUGGGGAGUACGCCGGCAACGGUGAAACUCAAAGGAAUUGACG